AGCGAACGCUGGCGGCAGGCCUAACACAUGCAAGUCGAGCGCCCGUAGCAAUACGGGAGCGGCAGACGGGAGAGUAACACGUGGGAACGUACCCUUCGGUUCGGAAUAACCCAGGGAAACUUGGAUUAAUACCGGAUACGUCCGAAAGGAGAAAGAUUUAUCGCCGAAGGAUCGGCCCGCGUCUGAUUAGCUUGUUGGUGAGGUAACGGCUCACCAAGGCGACGAUCAGUAGCUGGUCUGAGAGGAUGAUCAGCCUCACUGGGACUGAGACACGGCCCAGACUCCUACGGGAGGCAGCAGUGGGGAAUAUUGGACAAUGGGCGCAAGCCUGAUCCAGCCAUGCCGCGUGGGUGAUGAAGGCCCUAGGGUUGUAAAGCCCUUUCGGCGGGGAAGAUAAUGACGGUACCCGCAGAAGAAGCCCCGGCUAACUUCGUGCCAGCCGCCGCCGCAGUAAAA
Molecule: ribosomal RNA, 456 nt
Filed under: uncultured bacterium
Lineage: Bacteria
Description: bacterial SSU rRNA
Rfam family: Bacterial small subunit ribosomal RNA
Source: RNAcentral